This 218-nucleotide long non-coding RNA is filed under the name Lathyrus oleraceus (garden pea). RNAcentral describes it as "Pisum sativum (pea) long non-coding RNA (PSAT_LNC027608)". Lineage: Eukaryota; Viridiplantae; Streptophyta; Magnoliopsida; Fabales; Fabaceae. The record is from RNAcentral.
UAGAAUUCGCUUUUCACCGGCGGCCUUAUAGUUUAAAUUUAACUUUUUAAUAGCCCAAUAAGCCUUAUGUUCUAACUCCACCGGGAGGUGACACGAUUUACCAUAAAUAAGCUUAAAUGGGGUUGUUCCUAUGGGAGUUUUGUAAGCGAUUCGAUAUGCCCAUAAAGCUUCGGGUAAUUUUGAUGACCAGUCUUUCCUCGAUUUAGCGACAGUUUUUU